GACGAACGCUGGCGGCGUGCUUAACACAUGCAAGUCGAACGGUAAGGCCCUUCGGGGUACACGAGUGGCGAACGGGUGAGUAACACGUGGGUGAUCUGCCCUGCACUUCGGGAUAAGCCUGGGAAACUGGGUCUAAUACCGGAUAGGACCACUGCCUGCAUGGGUGGUGGUGGAAAGCUUUUGCGGUGUGGGAUGGGCCCGCGGCCUAUCAGCUUGUUGGUGGGGUGCUGGCCUACCAAGGCGACGACGGGUAGCCGGCCUGAGAGGGUGACCGGCCACACUGGGACUGAGAUACGGCCCAGACUCCUACGGGAGGCAGCAGUGGGGAAUAUUGCACAAUGGGCGCAAGCCUGAUGCAGCGACGCCGGGUGAGGGAUGACGGCCUUCGGGUUGUAAACCUCUUUCAGCACCGACGAAGCGCAAGUGACGGUAGGUGCAGAAGAAGGACCGGCCAACUACGUGCCAGCCGCCGCCGUAA
This 478-nucleotide ribosomal RNA is filed under the name uncultured bacterium. RNAcentral describes it as "partial 16S ribosomal RNA". It matches the Rfam family "Bacterial small subunit ribosomal RNA", at positions 28 to 523 of the family's 1533-position model. The record is from RNAcentral.